This 73-nucleotide transfer RNA is filed under the name Mustela putorius furo (domestic ferret). It matches the Rfam family "tRNA". Rfam says of the family: Transfer RNA (tRNA) molecules are approximately 80 nucleotides in length. Their secondary structure includes four short double-helical elements and three loops (D, anti-codon, and T loops). Lineage: Eukaryota; Metazoa; Chordata; Mammalia; Carnivora; Mustelidae. The record is from Rfam by way of RNAcentral.
GCCUGGCUGGCUCUGUAGGUAGAGUAUGUGACUGUUGAUCUUGAGGUCAUGAGUUCAAGCCCUAUGUUUGGUA